UAUAAAAGGUUAAAGUCCUGUUAAAAUUAGAGAUUAUUAAAUUAAGUAGGACGUGAUCCGUUUAUCAUGUGUGAAGAUUGGGGGACCACCCUCAAAGCCUAAAAUAUAUCUUUUACCGAUAGUGAACUAGUACUGUGAAGGAAAGGAUUUGAAACUGCAAGUUAACAAGCUGUCGAAACUUUUAAUUUAGUAACGGCGUACCUUUUGUAUAAUGGGUCAGCUAGUUA
RNAcentral lists this ribosomal RNA (227 nucleotides) under Vaucheria litorea. RNAcentral's name for it is "partial Bacterial large subunit ribosomal RNA". It matches the Rfam family "Bacterial large subunit ribosomal RNA", at positions 356 to 630 of the family's 2925-position model. The record is from RNAcentral. Lineage: Eukaryota; Xanthophyceae; Vaucheriales; Vaucheriaceae.